RNAcentral lists this ribosomal RNA (439 nucleotides) under Myrmeleon hyalinus. RNAcentral's name for it is "bacterial SSU rRNA". It matches the Rfam family "Eukaryotic small subunit ribosomal RNA", at positions 1038 to 1438 of the family's 1831-position model. Lineage: Eukaryota; Metazoa; Arthropoda; Insecta; Neuroptera; Myrmeleontidae. The record is from RNAcentral.
GAUGCCAGCUAGCGAUCCGCCAAAGUUCCUCCGAUGACUUGGUGGGCAGCUUCCGGGAAACCAAAGCAUUUGGGUUCCGGGGGAAGUAUGGUUGCAAAGCUGAAACUUAAAGGAAUUGACGGAAGGGCACCACCAGGAGUGGAGCCUGCGGUUAAAUUUGACUCAACACGGGAAACCUCACCAGGCCCGGACACCGGAAGGAUUGACAGAUUGAGAGCUCUUUCUUGAUUCGGUGGGUGGUGGUGCAUGGCCGUUCUUAGUUGGUGGAGCGAUUUGUCUGGUUAAUUCCGAUAACGAACGAGACUCUAGCCUACUAAAUAGACGUACUUUAUUACCGGCAUCUCAAGGCCCAUCGGCUGUAUUGUUACUGAAUGUUAUUUGUAUAUUUUGUUGAUAUAUAUUUAUUAUAUGUAUGAUUGAUAAUAUGUGUGUAUUAUAU